UUUGGUUAAGCUGAAUUCACAAUUUAGGCUCGCUAUGACUAAUUAAAGUCGGUCUGAAAACACAGCUGGUUAUUUUCAAGUAUUAAGAAAAUACUUUUUUUUUGUACAUUUGCUUUUCUUUUUCCCGAUCUCUUGGGACUUUUGCAAAUUUGAUUUUCUGUAUUGAAUCUCAUUUGUGUGGAUUUAUUUUAAACUUUUAAUCAUCUGGAGUAUGAUUUACUGAAUUAAUCAUGUUUUGGGAAGUAAAUUUUAGUUAAUUUUCUAGUGAAUAGCAUCUACCAAUAAUUAGCUACACUUUUGCAGUUACCGGUAUAAGUCGUCGAACGAUUUCACAAAUUUCAAGACCGGAAAAAGAACCGGUCCAUCAACAGCUUUAUAAGUACACAAGCUCACAUGUAGUUUGUAACCUUUUAUGCUACUUUGAUUAAUAACUAUUAUGUAUAUUAUUAGCUUGAUAUUAAAAAGAUUAAAAAAAAACAGUGGCUCUACUUUCAAUGAAAUUCAGUCUUUGUAAACACAAUGUGAGGUUGGGAGAAAAAGCUAAUAUUGGUAGUUACAAUACUUUAAUUAGCAGCCUUAUAAUUAAAGUACUUGGUGUUUCACUAAUAUGUGAUGGAUGUCUUACUCCAUUCCUAAUUUACAUUCUCCAAAAUCUUUCGAGUUCAUACGCAUUUGUGGAUCAUAAGUAGUUUAUUGAACCUCAAGACCGUUUUUCACUAAUCUGUGAUGGAUGUCUUAAUCCAUUCCUAAUUUUACAUUUUUAAAUAUAUUAUUGAGUACAUACACAUUUGUGGAUCAAAAUUAGUCUAGUUAAGCUCAAAUACAAUUGAAACUGUGUUUCUUUAUUACAAUAUGUUUUUGCUUUCUGCUUUUACCCUUUUAAGGUACCUAAAGUUUGCUGCAAAAGGUGCAUGAACUAUUUUGCUCUUGCUUUUAGCCUUCUCUCCACUCAAUAGUGUUGAUAGAUUCAGAAAUGAUGUUUUGGACAUUUAUAGGCGAGUCGAGAUGUGACGAGGAUGGAGAUAUUCAUGCAGCUAGUGAAUAUUUUGGAGCAGACGAUGAAGAGUGGAGGAAUCUCUGAGACUAUGUUGGAUGGUAUCAAAGCUACAAUCCCAUUUACCAACACCUUACCGGUUACUGGUGGCUGUUCAAUGUAACACAAUCAUUGACCGUACCGGUGUUAAAUCGGGUUUGGUUAAGCUGAAUUCACAAUUUAGGCUCGCUAUGACUAAUUAAAGUCGGUCUGAAAACACAGCUGGUUAUUUUCAAGUAUUAAGAAAAUACUUUUUUUUUGUACAUUUGCUUUUCUUUUUCCCGAUCUCUUGGGACUUUUGCAAAUUUGAUUUUCUGUAUUGAAUCUCAUUUGUGUGGAUUUAUUUUAAACUUUUAAUCAUCUGG
Molecule: long non-coding RNA, 1398 nt
Filed under: Brassica napus (rape)
Lineage: Eukaryota; Viridiplantae; Streptophyta; Magnoliopsida; Brassicales; Brassicaceae
Description: long non-coding RNA (BNAP_LNC003650)
Source: RNAcentral